This 2451-nucleotide long non-coding RNA is filed under the name Sus scrofa (pig). RNAcentral's name for it is "lncRNA (ENSSSCG00030037833.1)". The record is from RNAcentral. Lineage: Eukaryota; Metazoa; Chordata; Mammalia; Artiodactyla; Suidae.
CACUGUACAGCAAGGGGAUCAGGUUAUCCUUACAUGUAUACAUUACAAUUACAUUUUCCCCCACCCUUUCUUCUGUUGCAACAUGAGUAUCUAGACAUAGUUCUCAAUGCUAUUCAGCAGGAUCUCCUUGUAAAUCUAUUCUAAGUUGUGUCUGAUAAGCCCAAGCUCCCGAUCCCUCCCACUCCCUCCCCCUCCCAUCAGGCAGCCACAAGUCUCUUCUCCAAGUCCAUGAUUUUCUUUUCUGAGGAGAUGUUCAUUUGUGCUGGAUAUUAGAUUCCAGUUAUAAGUGAUAUCAUAUGGUAUUUGUCUUUGUCUUUCUGGCUCAUUUCACUCAGUAUGAGAUUCUCUAGUUCCAUCCAUGAAUGGCAUUAUGCCAUUAUGUCAUUCUUUUUUAUGGCUGAGUAGUAUUCCAUUGUGUAUAUAUACCACAUCUUCCGAAUCCAAUCAUCUGUCGAUGGACAUUUGGGUUGUUUCCAUGUCCUGGCUAUUGUGAAUAGUGCUGCAAUGAACAUGCGGGUGCAUGUGUCUCUUUUAAGUAGAGUUUUGUCCGGAUAGAUGCCCAAGAGUGGGAUUCCCGUUUUCCCUUCAGGUCCUCAGACAUGGGUUUUCUUGGUGGCCCCUGCCAGUUCGCCUGCUUCCGGAGCUGCAAACAAGGAGGUGAUUGGAAAGGGAGGAUGGGGAGCUUGUUUCUGUGUUUGAUAAAUUCUGAAACAAUGAAUUCAUGCGUCCUGCGAAACUAUUUUUGGUACCCCUGGGACUGUGAACACUAAAAAGCAACGUGUGAUCCGCUGCACCAUAGAGGAACAUGGCUUUUUGAUGACCUGACCGUGUCACUCCACUGGCGAUUCUCAAAGCCAGGUUCAGCCUGUAGUUCCGCGUCUUUUACUGAGCACCUUUAAUAGCUGUGUUGAGGAUGGGGGAUGUGGCUCUUCCCUCACCCUGGACUCCACCGCAGGGUGUGAACAGAGCAGCCAAGAAGCGGAUGAACACGAGAAGGCUGAUGACGAAGCAGGGAACAGGGACCGGGAGCACCGGGCGGGACCGCAGUUGGCACUGGCCUCAUCAGACAGCAGCCUCCCUGGGAGGGUGACGUGGGGUCAAGAGUUGAAGAAAGCCCCUCAGGCCGGGGAGCUAAAGAUGUGGCAUCCUGAGGCAGGUGCUCACUGGAGAGAGGGCAGAGGCCAGCCCGGAACCCAGCACGCGGGGACGAGAGCAGGAGGAACAGAAGGGGCUGUGCGGCGGAGGACCACGUCUGGGUGAGGGAGAGAUGGCGGGGCUGGGAAGGAAACGGCCAUCGAGGGGGGUAAGGAGGUCCCGAAACCGAGAAACGCUUUGAUGUCGCGAGGGCGGUGGAGGCAGGUUCUUCCAUAGCUGGGUCCGUGCUUCAGACAGAAAGGCCCAACUUCUUUUUCAGGACGGCGGGUUAAUCGUGGGCCGCAGCCCUCUGCUGCUGCUGCAGGUCCCUGGAUAACACAAAAACUACCAUUAGCAACCCCACUGUAACGCAACCGGAGGCUGUGAGGAACCCCUGUGCAUUGUAAAGUAAGCAGAAUCCGUCUGGAAAAUGAAGUGACGGCUGAAAUUGUGCCCGAGACAGUUGUAGCCAAACCAGGUCUUAGGCAAGACCGAGAGUGCCCCAUGCCAGGGGGUGGAAGGGGGUCGGCAGUGACCCACAGAGGCCUUCUAGAGAUGUGGCGUCCAGUCGCCCGGCAGUUCAACCCUCACUGCCCUCACAGCCCCAGCUGGGCUGCACUGAGAGCUCUGGCAUCCCCUGGGGUCAGUGCGUCUCAGAGACAUGGGCGGUGGUCCUCAGGACGCCGGUGGUUCCUUGCCAGGUGGCUCAUGAGGAUCUCUCGUCUUUGUGAGGAGGGAAAGGCUGAGGCUGAGUGCCAGCCGCAUACUCUGCCCGCCUUGCCAGUGGGCUGCACUGAGCCGACCUGGCAGGCAGAGAAACAGGGAUCCCAAUGACCCAGCUCACCACGGAGGGAGACAGGUUCAGCGAACGGAAGAACUCACGCCUGAAGAAGCAAGUGCAUGGAGCAGUAAAGUAGGGCUUUCAAAUGCUGCAUUCCUCAGAGCUGAAGGACAAUACCAAGAAAAACGCAUCAAAGGAUAAUGGACGUUGAAGAAAGAUUGAGUCAGCGAAAGACUUCCUAGAACGUCGGACAAAUGGAUAAAGAGAAGCCAUGAGAGAGAAAUGGAGACUAACACCAGAAUAUCCGACAUCUAAUCAAAAGCAGUGUCAGUGGGAGAGAAGGUGGAGAGUAAAUAAAGGCGCAAUGAAAGAAUAUUCGCAAUAAUGGAAGAGAUGAAUUUUAAAACUGAAGCGGCCAAUUAAGUGCUAGGUUGAAUUUGCCACAAACAAGCCAGCCUCUCCCACACGCAGAGGAAAUCAGUGGGAAAGUGAAAGUCUAACAAUUUCCCAGAGGGAAGAAACAGAUGAUUCAUAGG